Molecule: long non-coding RNA, 186 nt
Organism: Amphimedon queenslandica
Lineage: Eukaryota; Metazoa; Porifera; Demospongiae; Haplosclerida; Niphatidae
Exons: 3
Source: RefSeq, a predicted model, not a curated record
CAAUGGUCCUAUUUUAGGUGCCAUUGACUGGCACUCUUUUAGUCAACUUAUACUGCGACCAUACGGAUGGACAAAUCAAGAUUCUCCUGAUGAAGCCCAGUUAAAGGAGAUUGGUGAUGAAAUGAGUGCAAAAAUCUUUGAUGUUUUUGGUAAAACCUACACGUCACAGAAAGUCAUUGAUCUUUA